CUCUAUACGGAGUUACAAAGGAAUAUAUUAAACGAAUCAUCUGGAAAGUUGAAUCAAAGAAGGUAAUAAUCCUGUAGUCGAAAGUUUGUUCACUCUUGAGUGGAUCCUGAGUACGACGGAACACGAGAAAUUCCGUCGGAAUCCGGGAGGACCAUCUCCCAAGGCUAAAUACUCUCUAGUGACCGAUAGUGAACCAGUACCGUGAGGGAAAGGUGAAAAGUACCCCGGAAGGGGAGUGAAAGAGAACUUGAAACCGUGUGCUUACAAGUAGUCAGAGCCCGUUAAUGGGUGAUGGCGUGCCUUUUGUAGAAUGAACCGGCGAGUUACGAUAUGAUGCGAGGUUAAGUUGAAGAGACGGAGCCGUAGGGAAACCGAGUCUUAAUAGGGCGGAUUAGUAUCAUGUCGUAGACCCGAAACCAUGUGACCUACCCAUGAGCAGGGUGAAGGUGAGGUAAAACUCACUGGAGGCCCGAACCAGGGCACGUUGAAAAGUGCUUGGAUGACUUGUGGGUAGCGGAGAAAUUCCAA
RNAcentral lists this ribosomal RNA (528 nucleotides) under Prevotella sp. OH937_COT-195. RNAcentral's name for it is "partial 23S ribosomal RNA". It matches the Rfam family "Bacterial large subunit ribosomal RNA", at positions 308 to 832 of the family's 2925-position model. Lineage: Bacteria; Pseudomonadati; Bacteroidota; Bacteroidia; Bacteroidales; Prevotellaceae. The record is from RNAcentral.